AGCUCCGUGCCGUGAGGUGUCGGGUUAAGUCCCAUAACGAGCGCAACCCCUACCUUUAGUUGCCAUCAGGUAAUGCUGGGGACUCCAAAGGAACUGCCUACGCAAGUAGUGAGGAAGGCGGGGAUGACGUCAAAUCAGCACGGCCCUUACGUCCAGGGCUACACACGUGCUACAAUGGCCGAUACAGAGGGCAGCUACCUGGUGACAGGAUGCAAAUCUCCAAAGUCGGUCUCAGUUCGGAUCGGAGUCUGCAACCCGACUCCGUGAAGUUGGAUUCGCUAGUAAUCGCGCAUCAGCCAUGGCGCGGUGAAUACGUUCCCGGGCCUU
This 327-nucleotide ribosomal RNA is filed under the name uncultured Sphingobacteriales bacterium. Its description in RNAcentral is "bacterial SSU rRNA". It matches the Rfam family "Bacterial small subunit ribosomal RNA", at positions 1057 to 1382 of the family's 1533-position model. The record is from RNAcentral. Lineage: Bacteria; Pseudomonadati; Bacteroidota; Sphingobacteriia; Sphingobacteriales.